Molecule: transfer RNA, 87 nt
Filed under: Amphritea opalescens
Lineage: Bacteria; Pseudomonadati; Pseudomonadota; Gammaproteobacteria; Oceanospirillales; Oceanospirillaceae
Description: Amphritea sp. MCCC 1K03512 tRNA-Leu
Rfam family: tRNA
About the family: Transfer RNA (tRNA) molecules are approximately 80 nucleotides in length. Their secondary structure includes four short double-helical elements and three loops (D, anti-codon, and T loops).
Source: RNAcentral
GCAGAUGUGGUGGAAUUGGUAGACACGCUAGCUUCAGGUGCUAGUGCUCUAACGGGCGUGGGAGUUCGAGUCUCCCCAUCUGCACCA